Long non-coding RNA from Quercus lobata, 392 nucleotides. RefSeq lists it as uncharacterized. The record is from RefSeq and is a predicted model, not a curated record. NCBI's taxonomy places the organism in Eukaryota, Viridiplantae, Streptophyta, Magnoliopsida, Fagales, Fagaceae. The transcript has 2 exons.
CUCUCUCAACUCUCUCCCUCUUUUCCGAGCAGCGUCUUGGAUUCUCUAUGUUACCUCUUCGGUUGGGUCUUUGGUUGUGGUGCAUUCAGCGUUUGACAACCAUAAAGGUUCAAUUUCCGUGGGUCUUGGGUUGGGCGAUCUUGGUGAAUUUGGUUGAGGUUUCAGCCAAGGUGGUGGUUCUGGUUCUUCGGCCGGUUUGGAGGACUGGGUCAUGCUCGUUUUGUCGCGACGAAGAAGCAAGAUAUUUGAAGUGGCUACAUUGAAAAGCUUCAUGGAUCCCUGUGGAUAACUUGAAGUCGAGAAUCCUGGUGCAGAUAGAGAAGUCCUCGCACAAUCCCCAAAACAAUGUCAAGACGCUUUGGCCAUGUCAGCAGUGCACUCCCAUUUUGUUC